Molecule: ribosomal RNA, 410 nt
Filed under: uncultured microorganism
Description: bacterial SSU rRNA
Rfam family: Archaeal small subunit ribosomal RNA
Source: RNAcentral
GUGCAGCAGGCGCGAAAACUUUACAAUGUGCGAAAGCACGAUAAGGGAACUCUGAGUGCCUCCUAAGGAGGCUGUUCAGGUGUCUAAAAAGCACCUGGAGUAAGGGCUGGGUAAGACCGGUGCCAGCCGCCGCGGUAACACCGGCAGCCCAGGUGGUAGCCACUUUUAUUGGGUCUAAAGCGUCCGUAGCCGGUUGAGUAAGUUCCUUGGGAAAUUUGGCUGCUCAACAGUCAAGCUUCCAGGGAAUACUGCUCGACUUGGGACUGGGAGAGGUCAGAGGUACUCCAGGGGUAGGGGUGAAAUCCAUUAAUCCCUGGGGGACCACCGGUAGCGAAGGCGUCUGACCAGACCAGGUCCGACGGUGAGGGACGAAGGCUAGGGUCGCGAACCGGAUUAGAUACCCCCGUAGU